AUGCAUUGGGUAUCCUGGCAAAAUUUUGCGACACCAAAAUGCAAGGGAGGACUGGGAUUCCGAGAUUUGCAUCAGUUUAACCUUGCACUACUUGGAAAACACGGAUGGCGUUUUAUGACAAAGCCGGAUUCCUUGUGUGCAAGAGUGAUGAAAGGUAGAUAUUUCCCUGACACCGACUUCAUGCAAGCAACAUGUCCCCGAUCAGCGUCUGCUACUUGGCGGACAAUUAUUGCAGGAAGAGAAACACUUGAUGCUGGUCUUAUAAAAUGA
Molecule: ribosomal RNA, 270 nt
Filed under: Triticum aestivum (bread wheat)
Lineage: Eukaryota; Viridiplantae; Streptophyta; Magnoliopsida; Poales; Poaceae
Description: partial small subunit ribosomal RNA
Source: RNAcentral